Molecule: ribosomal RNA, 1924 nt
Filed under: human gut metagenome
Description: bacterial LSU rRNA
Rfam family: Bacterial large subunit ribosomal RNA (bases 491-1924)
Source: RNAcentral
GAGAGCAGCAAGAAGCGUAUGCUCGACUUGGUUCACAAUCUCCAGACUGCGCUUUCACAGCGCAUCGAUGAGGCUACAUGGAUGAGUGCUGCUACCAAGGCACAGGCUAAGGAUAAGCUGGAGAACUUCAUCAUCAAGAUCGGCUAUCCUGACAAGUGGAAGGACUAUGGCGGAUUGCAGGUAGAUGACAGCCUCUCUCUCUACGAGAAUAUGGCAAAUAUCUCUGAGUUCUUUACCAAGGAUGCCAUCGCCCGCAAGGUGAACAAGCCGGUAGAUAAGACUGAGUGGGGAAUGACUCCUCAGACUAUCAAUGCUUAUUAUAAUAAGGCUUCAUACCGCCAUUUCCCCGGCGCAUCUGCCCUUCAUGAAAUGCUUUUGCCAUAUCCAUAGCCUGCUGUAUGCGUUCUGAAACCUGUACAUCCGGUCCAACCAUAUCAUCAACGCCUUUUCCCAGUGUCAUGUCAGCCAUCUUCUUAUCCCUUUCAGUACAUCCCAAACUACACAAAGUAUAACAUAGCAGCCUUGAAUAAUCUAUCCAUUUUUUAUAUACUUAACAAAUGUGCUUCUAUUAAAUUUUACAUUUACAAUGAAAUAUUUUUUACUUUGCACAUCACACUUUACAAAAGGAGUAUAUACAUGGACAUAAUCAAGAAAAUUGCUCAGGAGAUAGGCUGUCGCGACAGCCAGGUUGAAGCAGCGGUAAAACGCUGUGGAGGACCGAACGCACGCCUGUUGAAAUAGUCGGCGAUGACUUGUGGUUAGCGGAGAAAUUCCAAACGAAUUCGGAUAUAGCUGGUUCUCCUCGAAAUAGCUUUAGGGCUAGCCUCAACGUAGAGAGUAUCGGGGGUAGAGCACUGAAUGGGCUAGGGGCCUUCACGGGUUACCGAACCUUAUCAAACUGCGAAUACCGGAAACUUAUGCUUGGGAGUCAGACGGCGUGAGAUAAGUUUCGUCGUCAAAAGGGAAACAGCCCAGAUCUACAGCUAAGGUCCCAAAGUUAAGGUUAAGUGGUAAAGGAUGUGGUAUUGUACAGACAACCAGGAUGUUGGCUUAGAAGCAGCCACACAUUCAAAGAGUGCGUAAUAGCUCACUGGUCGAGUGACACUGCGCCGAAGAUUACCGGGGCUAAAACCUUACACCGAAGCUUAGGAAUUGUAUCAAGAGAUACAAUUGGUAGAGGAGCAAUGCAACAGAGCGGAAGCACGAUCGGAAGGGCGUGUGGAUUUGUUGCAAGAGAGAAUGCCGGCAUGAGUAGCGAGAGAAAAGUUGAAAUCUUUUCCGUCGAAAGCCUAAGGUUUCCUGGGGAAGGUUCGUCCACCCAGGGUAAGUCGGGACCUAAGUCGAGGCUGAAAAGCGUAGAUGAUGGACAACGGGUAGAUAUUCCCGUACCACCGCAAUAGUUCGAAGCAGGGACGCAGAAGGAUAGUCGGACCACGGAGAUGGAUCCGUGGCCAAAUCAUGAGGCCGGCUCGUAGUGAAGUACGCGAGUCAUAAGGCUAGGUGAUGACGGGGAGCGAAAAAUAGUAGUGAAGCCGAUGAAUUCACGCUGACGAGAAAAGCUGCUAAGGUAGAUAUUGAGGUGCCCGUACCGCAAACCGACACAGGUAGGCGGCAAGAGAAUUGCAAGACGAACGGGAUAACCAUUGGUUAAGGAACUCGGCAAAAUGACCCCGUAACUUAGGGAGAAGGGGAGCCUAGCGAUAGGUCGCAGUGAAAAGGCCCAAGCGACUGUUUAUCUAAAACACAGGUCUCUGCAAAAGCGCAAGCUGAAGUAUAGGGGCUGACGCCUGCCCGGUGCUGGAAGGUCAAGGGGAAAUGUUAGGAGUUGUAUCCGAAGCAUAGAACUUAAGCCCCAGUGAACGGCGGCCGUAACUAUAACGGUCCUAAGGUAGCGAAAUUCCUUGUCAGGUAAGUUCUGACCCGC